GGAUAUGCAGGGUGGUAUUUAAUAAAGCAGGUUAUUUUACAUAUUUUUUUUAAGAUCUGAUUCCUGUGAAGACAGAAAUGUUGUUGAAAAUAGCUCUAGCUCUUAGAUAAUUUUUGUACAAUUUCCAGAAACCAUUUCACCUUGUUUUCCUUAAUGUUAUACUCAGUUAUUGGUGAAAAAAGAGGACUGCUUGGCUUUUAAAAAAUAGAGCAAGGCCUGAUUCCAAAAGUGAUUUUUAGUAAUUUUCAAAUGUUAACCUUUCAAAAUUAUAAUUUUCUGAGAACCAGUUACUCAUUCAAAUCAUUUCAAAGAGUAAACACAGCUUAGGAAACUUGAAAAUUUACCAUUAAAGGCUUGUAACAAAUGCAAUGGAAGAUCCUAAUGCUCUGGG
RNAcentral lists this long non-coding RNA (391 nucleotides) under Bos taurus (domestic cattle). RNAcentral describes it as "long non-coding RNA NONBTAT000258". Lineage: Eukaryota; Metazoa; Chordata; Mammalia; Artiodactyla; Bovidae. The record is from RNAcentral.